This 253-nucleotide ribosomal RNA is filed under the name uncultured bacterium. RNAcentral's name for it is "partial 16S ribosomal RNA". It matches the Rfam family "Bacterial small subunit ribosomal RNA", at positions 524 to 776 of the family's 1533-position model. The record is from RNAcentral.
GACGAGCCUCACGAACGUUAAUCGGAAUUACUGGGCGUAAAGCGUGCGCAGGCGGUUAUGUAAGACAGAUGUGAAAUGCCCGGGCUUAACCUGGGAACUGCAUUUGUGACUGCAUGGCUAGAGUUUGGCAGAGGGGGGUAGAAUUCCACGUGUAGCAGUGAAAUGCGUAGAUAUGUGGAGGAACACCGAUGGCGAAGGCAGCCCCCUGGGUCAAGACUGACGCUCAUGCACGAAAGCGUGGGGAGCAAACAGG